CUGAGGAAACUGCCAGCGAUGAGCUGGAGGAAGUGGGGAUGACGUCAAGUCAUCAUGGCCCUUACGUCCAGGGCGACACACGUGCUACAAUGGCAGCUACAGAGGGUCGCAAUACCGCGAGGUGGAGCCAAUCCCUAAAAGCUGUCUCAGUUGGGAUCGGAGUCUGCAACUCGACUCCGUGAACGCGGAAUCGCUAGUAAUCGUGGAUCAGCCAUGCCACGGUGAAUACGUUCCCGGGCCUU
This 242-nucleotide ribosomal RNA is filed under the name uncultured Nitrospiraceae bacterium. Its description in RNAcentral is "partial 16S ribosomal RNA". It matches the Rfam family "Bacterial small subunit ribosomal RNA", at positions 1140 to 1382 of the family's 1533-position model. Lineage: Bacteria; Pseudomonadati; Nitrospirota; Nitrospiria; Nitrospirales; Nitrospiraceae. The record is from RNAcentral.